UUUUAUUUGAGUAGAAUGGCUCUUGAGAUUCAGAUCUUGUAUCGUACCUCAGUUGUGCUUGAGUUUUGUAGCUUAUAGCUCUAUGUGUUUUCUCAGGGAUGGUAUUAUGCACUUAGUGUGCUUGCGAUCAAAAUUCGAUACUUUUAUUGUAAUGCGUUGAUUUAGCUCGAAGUGCAAUCGCCUUAUGUGAGAUUUAUCUGUGGAUCGGGUGGCACGCUGCCAUAGGUAUGUUAUUUGGAUCGGGUUGUGCGCCGCAACAGUGUGAUAUCGAGUCUAGUUUUCUAUAUGCUAUUUUUUGUGUGUUUCGCUUCCUAUCUUCUAAGGAAAGUUUGUAUUAGUGCGAGGGUUAGGUAAUUCCUUCCAGAGUUCGAAUGCCUGUUUAUGUUGUGUUCGGAUUGGUGGCCUAUUGGCAUAGUGUGGCGUCGUAUGAGACUUUUGAUCGCAUUUGGAGUGGCUUAUUGCCCGAGCAGUUCACACUAGGCGAGACGAGAUUAUGGGGUUUAGGAUCAGUGCAAUUUGAUUAUAUGAAGUAUAUUGAGGAGCAAAGAUCAUUAUUUGGUUCAGAAUACGGUAGUGUUUCUUGGCAGAAGUAUAGACUCAUGAUUGUUUGACUCGGCAGUUGACUAUGAAUUUCGGCACAUUCGUCCAUCGUAGCGGUAUUGUAAGAGUUAGAGUAAGACUUGCGUGUGUCAUGAGGUGCAAUGAGAGCAUCUGAUUUGUUGAAUUUUGGCAAAGUUGAUUAGAAAAUAUGAUUGUGGUCCUGCGGAUUAUGAGUUACAAG
This 781-nucleotide long non-coding RNA is filed under the name Nicotiana benthamiana. RNAcentral's name for it is "long non-coding RNA (NBEN_LNC003923)". The record is from RNAcentral. Lineage: Eukaryota; Viridiplantae; Streptophyta; Magnoliopsida; Solanales; Solanaceae.